Molecule: non-coding RNA, 84 nt
Organism: Desmophyllum pertusum
Lineage: Eukaryota; Metazoa; Cnidaria; Anthozoa; Scleractinia; Caryophylliidae
Source: the annotation of a GenBank genome assembly
GGUUUGAUAGCUCAGUUGGUCAGAGCGCUGCACCAAUAUCGCAGGGCCAUGGGUUCCCGCGGGUGAUCCCGUUAAUUCAAGCCU